Molecule: long non-coding RNA, 543 nt
Organism: Daktulosphaira vitifoliae (grape phylloxera)
Lineage: Eukaryota; Metazoa; Arthropoda; Insecta; Hemiptera; Phylloxeridae
Exons: 4
Source: RefSeq, a predicted model, not a curated record
UAAAUACAAUAUAUUAAAAAUGAUAUAAUAGUAGUGUCAAUGGCACAUCGUACUUUUGGGAGUAACUUAAUUUUUUUAUAAAUAGGAUAAAAAAAUUGUGAUUCUGGCUGAUUCUCGAAUUAACUCUUUUACUACUCUUAUUUCUCGAUUUAUAUAUGUGACAACGCUAUCCAUACUCAGUUAUAUUAAUCAAAGAAAAGCGGAGAUUAUUAAUGUCAAAAUAUAUCCUAAACAUCAAAAAGAAGCCAGGACAGAGGUUCAUAUAUUGACACUAUACUACUUUAGGUUGACACUUAUGGUGUUUCUAUCCAACCUGUCAUAGGUAACCGUAAGAAACUGAUCUGUCUUUGAAAUUAUAUAUCCAAUCAUACACGGAGCAGACUUGCAUCUAAUAUUUCAAUCAGUUAUACAUUCAUAUUGACGUUUAUAUUAUCCGUUGUGACCAAUCAUGAAUACUAAGAAAUUAAAGAAAAGAAGAUCAUUUUUGGUAAAAAUUUAAAAAAAAAUAACAGUAAAAAUUUCUUAUCAGAAAUCACAUAGAAU